GAAAUGGCUGGCUGAGUUUUAAUCUUACAAAAAAAUUUGAAAAAGGUGUAGAAAUGCAUUCAGUAUCAUUUCAUCAUGCAUCACUGUUGCAAACAGAAACACAGGCGUAUACACACACAAGAGCCAUGCCCCAUGCCAAACACUCAAGCAUUUCACAACCUGUGACAAAAAGAUUUAGUAUGAAGUGCACACAAAUUCAUAUUCAAAGAAUUGUCACCAAACACUGACAUGAACACAUCCAAAAAGAGGUAGCAUGAAUUUCUACGUACAUUCUUAAACAGAAGCCUUGAGAUCUUUCUCAAAGCCCUGUACAGACUGCAGAAAAACUAGAUGCAUGAGGAGAGACAAUUAAAGACCGUCUGUGAGUGUUGAUGGGAAAGCUUCAUUUUAAGUCUUCCAUCAGCGGCUGCUGCACCUCCAGGGAAGAUGGUCUUCACGUAAAUCCCCAUUGGGCCGUACAUGCUGUCUCUGCCUCCGACUAUACUGAAUCCCAGGCCCUGGAAUACCACGAGAGUGAUUUAUAUGGAGGGGACCAAGUGUGCUGAACUCAGAGAGCGAGAUGGUCUAACCACAGCCUGCAGAGACCGAGGAGAGCACAAAUAAUGUGGCUCUCUUUUGUGCAGGAGUAAUGAGUUGAGCAGAACCACAGAAUCUCCCAUCACACCCGCCAUGUGAUAAUCAUUCAUUUCCAGGAGACAUCCCUGUGAUCCCAGGCAAGCCAGAAUUAACAUCGGAAAACUUUUGAGAAAUACUCUGACGUUCUCAGAUAUCAUCAUCAUGAGACACUUUCUAAAAGGUUUAUAAGUGACAGUGAUAAGAUUAUAUACUGCAGUGAAAUUAUUGUGCAGUGCAUUUUUGUCCAUGGUCAAAUGUGCAAAUAUUUUAAGAACAUUAUUAAAGACCAGAUGACUUUGAACGAACGUUCUGUUAAUGUUACUAGAAGAACGGUUGUUGAUAACUUUAAGAAAACCUUGCCAGAACGUCCUGAAAACGUUUUCUGUUCGCUAGGCAGGUACACAAAAGACAACAGUAGUUCAAUGUUGUUUUACAAUGUUUGUUUGUUGUUUUUGUCUUGUGUAAUUUUUUUGAUUUUACAUAGAUUAAUUUCCACAAUCUUUCAUAUGAACAUACUGUGCAGUUCUUUGAAGUGUAUUUAAACAUUAAGUUUUAUUAAAAUAAAAAUAAAGUAAAUUAUUAUUUUAUUUAAUUUUUCUUAUACGUUUUUAAACUUGACUUUUUCUUCAUUACGCCUACGUGACCGGCUUUCAUUUUCCACUGUGUUUGCAAUGUGCUACAGUGUAUAAUGCUAUAUAAACUUGCCUUACUUAAUAUAUGAACACUUUAGUGACCACCUGGUGAACACAUAUCUUUCCCUCAACACAAAAUAAUUCUGCUAUUUUGCUUUAUAUUCUGCUUUUUUUUUUUUUUUUGCUCACAAUUGCGAGAUAUAAAGUCAGAAUUGCAAGUUAUAAACUCACAAUUGUGACUUUAUAUCUCGCAAUUCUGACUUUAUAUCACUCAGUUCUGACUCAUAACUCAAUUCUGACUUAUCACUCACAAUUCUGACUUUGUAACUCGCAAUUCUGACUUUAUAUCUCACAAUUGUGACUUUAUAUCACGCAAUUCUAUGACUAUAUAUCUCACAAUUUUGACUUUAUAUCAUGCAAUUCUGACUUUAUAUCUCGC
Molecule: long non-coding RNA, 1686 nt
Organism: Ctenopharyngodon idella (grass carp)
Lineage: Eukaryota; Metazoa; Chordata; Actinopteri; Cypriniformes; Xenocyprididae
Exons: 5
Source: RefSeq, a predicted model, not a curated record